AGGGAGUUGGGGAUGGCCGCUGAUCCACGCGGUGGAUUAGAGGAAAGUCCGAGCUGCACAGAGCAAGGGUGCCCGGUGAAAGCCGGGGAAGCGCGGCAACGCGUUAACAGUCCAUACCGGCGCGUCCCAGGACGCGAGAGCAACAGAAACCAAACCCGCGGGCCACGGCCUGGCGGGCUGAAAAGGGCAAUCCUCCCCGCAGCAAUCUCCGAUUCGACCGUUUGCAGGUUGCUCGCCGAGGUCGGAAGUCGAGAGCAGUCACGAAGGCGACGACGUGACCAGCCUUCAAGGUUGAGAGAGAUGGCCAUCUAGAACAGAACUCGGCUUACUCCUCCUCUCUUGCG
This 344-nucleotide RNase P RNA is filed under the name Chloroflexia bacterium. RNAcentral's name for it is "RNase P RNA component class A". It matches the Rfam family "Bacterial RNase P class A". From Rfam's summary of the family: Ribonuclease P (RNase P) is a ubiquitous endoribonuclease, found in archaea, bacteria and eukarya as well as chloroplasts and mitochondria. Its best characterised activity is the generation of mature 5'-ends of tRNAs by cleaving the 5'-leader elements of precursor-tRNAs. Lineage: Bacteria; Bacillati; Chloroflexota; Chloroflexia. The record is from RNAcentral.